GGGCUCGUGGUUUAGUGGUAUAAUACUCCCUUAGCAUAGCAUGUAUGGGAGUGGUCCGGGGUUCGAUUCCCCGCGAGUCCA
This 81-nucleotide transfer RNA is filed under the name Blumeria graminis f. sp. tritici. It matches the Rfam family "tRNA". From Rfam's summary of the family: Transfer RNA (tRNA) molecules are approximately 80 nucleotides in length. Their secondary structure includes four short double-helical elements and three loops (D, anti-codon, and T loops). Lineage: Eukaryota; Fungi; Ascomycota; Leotiomycetes; Helotiales; Erysiphaceae. RNAcentral also lists the same sequence under 1 other name. The record is from Rfam by way of RNAcentral.